GAUGAAGAACGCAGCGAAAUGCGAUAAGUAAUGUGAAUUGCAGAAUUUAGUGAAUCAUCGAAUCUUUGAACGCACAUUGCGCCCGCCAGCAUUCUGGCGGGCAUGCCUGUUCGAGCGUCAUUUCAACCCUCGACCUCCCCUUGGGGAGGUCGGCGUUGGGGACCGGCAGCACACCGCCGGCCCUGAAAUGGAGUGGCGGCCCGUCCGCGGCGACCUCUGCGCAGUAAUACAGCUCGCACCGGGACCCCGACGCGGCCACGCCGUAAAACACCCAACUUCUGAACGUUGACCUCGAAUCAGGUAGGACUACCCGCUGAACUUAAGCAUAUCAAUAAGCGGAGGA
RNAcentral lists this unclassified non-coding RNA (343 nucleotides) under soil metagenome. Its description in RNAcentral is "partial contains 5.8S ribosomal RNA, internal transcribed spacer 2, and large subunit ribosomal RNA". The stretch from base 1 to 120 matches the Rfam family "5.8S ribosomal RNA", at positions 35 to 154 of the family's 154-position model. The record is from RNAcentral.